AUACGUAGGGGGCUAGCGUUAUCCGGAAUUACUGGGCGUAAAGGGUGCGUAGGUGGUUUCUUAAGUCAGCUGUAAAAGGCAUGAGCUUAACUCAUAGAUUGCAGUUGAAACUGUUUCUCUUGAGUGGAGUAGAGGUAAGCGGAAUUCCGAGUGUAACGGUGAAAUGUGUAGAGAUUCGGAGGAACACCAGUGGCGAAGGCGGCUUACUGGGCUCUAACUGACGCUGAGGCUCGAAAGUGUGGGGAGCAAACAGGAUUAGAUACCCUGGUAGUCCACACUGUAAACGAUGAUUACUAGGUGUGGGGGGUCUGACCCCCUCCGUGCCGCAGUUAACGCAAUAAGUAAUCCACCUGGGGAGUACGACCGCAAGGUUGAAACUCAAAGGAAUUGGCGGGG
This 396-nucleotide ribosomal RNA is filed under the name uncultured bacterium. Its description in RNAcentral is "partial 16S ribosomal RNA". It matches the Rfam family "Bacterial small subunit ribosomal RNA", at positions 523 to 918 of the family's 1533-position model. The record is from RNAcentral.